Molecule: ribosomal RNA, 332 nt
Filed under: uncultured bacterium
Lineage: Bacteria
Description: bacterial SSU rRNA
Rfam family: Bacterial small subunit ribosomal RNA
Source: RNAcentral
CGUGUAGGCGGUCAGGUAAGUGGGAUGUGAAAUCCCUCGGCUCACCCGAGGACCUGCAUCCCAAACUGCCUGGCUUGAGUAUGGGAGAGGAUGAGGGAAUUCCUGGUGUAGCGGUGAAAUGCGUAGAUAUCAGGAGGAACACCGGUGGCGAAGGCGCUCAUCUGGCCCAAUACUGACGCUGAGGCGCGAAAGCUAGGGGAGCAAACGGGAUUAGAUACCCCGGUAGUCCUAGCCGUAAACGGUGAUCACUCGGUGUUGGAGGCAUCGACCCCUCCAGUGCCGCAGCUAACGCAUUAAGUGAUCCGCCUGGGGAGUACGGCCGCAAGGUUGAA